This 424-nucleotide ribosomal RNA is filed under the name uncultured bacterium. RNAcentral describes it as "bacterial SSU rRNA". It matches the Rfam family "Bacterial small subunit ribosomal RNA", at positions 356 to 773 of the family's 1533-position model. The record is from RNAcentral.
GGGGAAUAUUGCACAAUGGGCGAAAGCCUGAUGCAGCAACGCCGCGUGAGUGAUGAAGGUUUUCGGAUCGUAAAGCUCUGUUGCCAGGGAAGAACGUCCUGUAGAGUAACUGCUACAGGAGUGACGGUACCUGAGAAGAAAGCCCCGGCUAACUACGUGCCAGCAGCCGCGGUAAUACGUAGGGGGCAAGCGUUGUCCGGAAUUAUUGGGCGUAAAGCGCGCGCAGGCGGCUGUUUAAGUCUGGUGUUUAAUCCUGGGGCUCAACCCCGGGUCGCACUGGAAACUGGGCAGCUUGAGUGCAGAAGAGGAGAGUGGAAUUCCACGUGUAGCGGUGAAAUGCGUAGAGAUGUGGAGGAACACCAGUGGCGAAGGCGACUCUCUGGGCUGUAACUGACGCUGAGGCGCGAAAGCGUGGGGAGCAAAC